AGUAACCUAUGGAAUAAAAGACACUGAGGGGACAAGAAAAGGAGGAAAGAAGCGAUGUGGAACAACAGGGUUUCUCAUAUUUGCUGUUUGAUGCUUCUGGCUUUGCUUCAAACCACUGCACCCUCCUCAGCACAGAACAUUGGCAUUUAUCUACAACGACCAGUUGACCUGACGGUGGCUCAGGGGAAACCUGUGGCGUUUCGCUGUGGAGUUCCCAAAGCCUUUCCACAGGUCACACUCAUCUACACUGGAAAGUUAGGCACGUACAACCUCACCUGCCCCAAUGGCUCCAUAGAAGCUGUCCCCAAGACUUUGUACGGUCAGUGUGAGCUGAAGGACGGACAGUCAGUGGCCACAUGGAGCCUCACUAAGGCCUCUGUGUCAGACAGCGGCACACAAGUGAAGUGUCAGCAGCCCAACAGCCAAGACGCCCCCGUCGCCAUCCUCAGUGUUUACGCUUUGAGCAGCAACCACAGCGUUCUCGUCGCAUGUUCUCUCGGGGGCUUCUUCGUGACCCUCCUAGUGUUUGGCAUGUUGUGCCUGCUCCUGCAGAAAUCCGAGGCCUUCAGGCAGUGCUUCAAGGGAAAAGACACAGAUGAUGAUCUGAGCACAAUAGUAUCUGAUUAGUCCUUUACAUUGUAUUGUAUUGUAAUGUAUUGUACCAGUAAUGUACUAUAAUACACCACAAUGCAUUUUUCAUCAGCAUUCUUUGUUCCAGUAGAUAAUGUAACAGCAGUGACACACUUUCACCACUUGAUGGAAGCAUUUAGUAUGAAGUCAACAGCCAGGAUUUAAUGAGCAGCCACUUUCCCAUUAAAGAAGCGCUGUAAAUAUCUGCACCUUUAUAAAUUUCUCACGUUUUUCCAGAGCUUCGUAUUUCUAGGGUUCAUAUGUUUUUCAUUUUUCACCUCUUGUCUGUUCCAAAUCAGAUUUUUGUGGCUAUUGGCGGGUUAGAUGUGAAGAAAUGUUAGAUAUUAUCUAAAACACACUCUGGAUCUUUAUCAUGUAACAGUUUCUCUGUGCUUCAGUGAACCUGACUGAUAAACGUGGCUUAAAUAUACAUGAACCAGACCCUGUUGAUGGGCAGCUGACUCUGACUGCUCUGUGGCUUUUUCCAUGUUUACCCUUGUUCAGCGUAUCAGCAGAGCCACCAGAGAGUACACACCAGGGCUACGGACACACUUAUGAGCACAUGACCACAACCUUGAAAUGUCUGAGUUCCCUAACAUACAGUAGCUGCUAUUAUCAGCUAUCCUAAUACUGAGCGCCUUAACCUUGUUUCUUUAUGUUGUUUUGUUUAGAAAGCAAAAAAGAAAUUUCCACAAAUAAAUAAUUCAGAUUCCUUCA
This 1347-nucleotide long non-coding RNA is filed under the name Betta splendens (Siamese fighting fish). Its description in RNAcentral is "lncRNA (ENSBSLG00000026466.1)". The record is from RNAcentral. Lineage: Eukaryota; Metazoa; Chordata; Actinopteri; Anabantiformes; Osphronemidae.